Molecule: small nuclear RNA, 318 nt
Filed under: Tursiops truncatus (common bottlenose dolphin)
Lineage: Eukaryota; Metazoa; Chordata; Mammalia; Artiodactyla; Delphinidae
Description: 7SK RNA (ENSTTRG00000023261.1)
Rfam family: 7SK RNA
About the family: 7SK was discovered as an abundant small nuclear RNA in the mid-70s but a possible function has only recently been suggested. Two independent studies have found that 7SK RNA binds the CDK9/cyclin T complex (known as elongation factor P-TEFb). P-TEFb activates transcription by phosphorylating the C-terminal domain of RNA polymerase II.
Source: Rfam by way of RNAcentral
AGAGCGAGACAUGGUCUCAUUGAGAUAUUGUCACCUCGCUGAUUACCAGGGUUGAUUCUGCUGCUCUGGCUGGCUAGCUGGGUGCAGCCUGCCCUCCUCACACCUCGGUGUCUGUCUCUCCCAAAGCUGAAUGCUUGGUAGAGGAAGAUGGUGUUCCCUAGUAGAGAAGAUCAUUAUUUCCUAAAGGUAAUACAAGUAGCUGUGCUGCCCUCCAAAUAAGCUUGCAAGAAUCAGAGAGUGAAGAAUAUGUUUCUAAGGACAAAAAGAAAUAUGGUAUUUUCAUCCAGUUAGUUAUUCAACAGGAAGAACUGUUUCACU